This 285-nucleotide long non-coding RNA is filed under the name Actinidia chinensis (golden kiwifruit). RNAcentral's name for it is "long non-coding RNA (ACHI_LNC001400)". Lineage: Eukaryota; Viridiplantae; Streptophyta; Magnoliopsida; Ericales; Actinidiaceae. The record is from RNAcentral.
UCAAGCACCUAGACUCUAGUGAAUGCCUAUAGAAAUUGCUGGGAACACAGAGACAUUAGCAUUUGAAAUGGAUUACCUUCUAUCCAUUUGUCCAAUUGCAUGCUUAAGCUUUAAAGGAAACGAUACCAUUUGAGUUCAUCCAUAAAUAUCAUGAAAGGCAUAAACUGCACUCUACAGCAAUCUGAAAUUCCUUCUUCGUUUUGUUCCCCGUCCUAUGUUUUCUCCAUCCCUGUAUAUAUUCCAGGCUUCAACAAAUUUGAUCAGUGUGAAGCAAGUACUUCUUUU